RNAcentral lists this ribosomal RNA (112 nucleotides) under Propithecus coquereli (Coquerel's sifaka). Lineage: Eukaryota; Metazoa; Chordata; Mammalia; Primates; Indriidae. The record is from RNAcentral.
GUCUGUGGCCAUACCACCCUGAACGCACCCGAUCUCAUCUGGUCUUGGAAGCUCAGCAGGGUUGGGCCUGGUUAGUACUCGGAUGGGAGGAAUGUGAGUGGCGCCACACUUC